GAUGAAGAACGCAGCGAAAUGCGAUAAGUAAUGUGAAUUGCAGAAUUCAGUGAAUUAUCGAAUCUUUGAACGCACAUUGCGCCCGCCAGUAUUCUGGCGAGCAUGCCUGUUCGAGCGUCAUUUCAACCAUCAAGCCCCAGGCUUGUGUUGGAGCCCUGCGGCUGCCGCAGCCUCCCAAAACCAGUGGCGGGCUCGCUAUCACACCGAGUGCAGUAGUUUACUCUUCGCUCAGGGCGUGUGGCGGGUGCUAGCCGUGAAACCCCCAACUUCUCAAGGUUGACCUCGGAUCAGGUAGGAAUACCCGCUGAACUUAAGCAUAUCAAUAAGCGGAGGA
RNAcentral lists this unclassified non-coding RNA (334 nucleotides) under soil metagenome. Its description in RNAcentral is "partial contains 5.8S ribosomal RNA, internal transcribed spacer 2, and large subunit ribosomal RNA". The stretch from base 1 to 120 matches the Rfam family "5.8S ribosomal RNA", at positions 35 to 154 of the family's 154-position model. The record is from RNAcentral.